GGUGAACCUGCGGAAGGAUCAUUACCGAUGUGAAAAAAUCCAAGGUUAAACAUCAUUAACCAGUGUGAACUGUGAAACAACUCUUUAGGGGUCGGCACAGGCGUGUGUCGUUAAAUGGCGGAUAGGUUCCUUCCGCCAGCCCCGCCAUUGUGUUUAUGAUAUCACUUUGAACGUUAAAGACUGAGAACGUAUGUAUCAUGCAUUAAAUGUAUGAGAAAGAAGGAAAGAAAAAUGAGAGACAACUUUUGACGGUGGAUCUCUUGGCUCACGUAUCGAUGAAGAACGCAGCCAGCUGCGAUAUGUAGUGUGAAUUGCAGAAUUCAGUGAAUCAUUGAAUCUUUGAACGCAAAUGGCGCUCUUGGGUUCUCCCAGGAGCAUGUCUGUCUGAGUGUCGGAUUUUAUCGAACGCACUCGUGAGUGCGGUAUUGAGGUGUCACGGCGUGUUAGCAUUAAAUCGCCGUGUCCCUUGAAGGACAGCAGCAUUGGACUCGCAUUCUCUAUUGAAACUUGAGUGCGAAGGCUAAAGAUAAUAUUUUCCUUCGCCCAAACAUGCAAUAGCAGAAACAAAAUCCAAUCAAAGCGGUGACAGACAAUGACAACAUCAAAUCUUGACCUCAGAUCAGGCAAGGCUACCCGCUGA
This 640-nucleotide small RNA is filed under the name Porites lobata. Its description in RNAcentral is "eukaryotic LSU rRNA". The stretch from base 241 to 394 matches the Rfam family "5.8S ribosomal RNA". The record is from RNAcentral. Lineage: Eukaryota; Metazoa; Cnidaria; Anthozoa; Scleractinia; Poritidae.